This 288-nucleotide ribosomal RNA is filed under the name Klebsiella pneumoniae. RNAcentral describes it as "partial 16S ribosomal RNA". It matches the Rfam family "Bacterial small subunit ribosomal RNA", at positions 560 to 847 of the family's 1533-position model. The record is from RNAcentral. Lineage: Bacteria; Pseudomonadati; Pseudomonadota; Gammaproteobacteria; Enterobacterales; Enterobacteriaceae.
GUAAAGCGCACGCAGGCGGUCCGUCAAGUCGGAUGUGAAAUCCCCGGGCUCAACCUGGGAACUGCAUUCGAAACUGGCAGGCUAGAGUCUUGUAGAGGGGGGUAGAAUUCCAGGUGUCGCGGUGAAAUGCGUAGAGAUCUGGAGGAAUACCGGUGGCGAAGGCGGCCCCCUGGACAAAGACUGACGCUCAGGUGCGAAAGCGUGGGGAGCAAACAGGAUUAGAUGCCCUGGUAGGCCACGCCGUAAACGAUGUCGAUUUGGGGGUUGUGCCCUUGAGGCGUGGCUUCC